Molecule: unclassified non-coding RNA, 225 nt
Filed under: Hevea brasiliensis (rubber tree)
Lineage: Eukaryota; Viridiplantae; Streptophyta; Magnoliopsida; Malpighiales; Euphorbiaceae
Source: RNAcentral
CCUCUGCCUGUUGAUUGCAAAAUUUUAUCCAUCCCCUUUGGUCCUAAUGUUGUCUUGACCAAGUCAGCAAUCGCCAUUGCACCAACAAAUGAUGCCAUUCUAGCACGCUCUCCCUUUUCUUCGCUAGCUUCAUCUUUAAGAAUUUUAUCAACCGCCAUUAGAGAGUGUAAAUAAAGACAGCUUGACUAUAGACGCUCAAAAUUAGAAUCUGAAGUGAGAUUGGAG